This 85-nucleotide transfer RNA is filed under the name bacterium. Its description in RNAcentral is "tRNA-Ser". It matches the Rfam family "tRNA". Rfam says of the family: Transfer RNA (tRNA) molecules are approximately 80 nucleotides in length. Their secondary structure includes four short double-helical elements and three loops (D, anti-codon, and T loops). The record is from RNAcentral.
GGAGGGGUACCGAAGUGGUUAUAACGGGGAGGUCUCGAAAACCUUUGUGCCUUUAGCACCGUGGGUUCGAAUCCCACCCCCUCCG